This 497-nucleotide ribosomal RNA is filed under the name uncultured bacterium. RNAcentral's name for it is "partial 16S ribosomal RNA". It matches the Rfam family "Bacterial small subunit ribosomal RNA", at positions 28 to 507 of the family's 1533-position model. The record is from RNAcentral.
GAUGAACGCUGGCGGCGUGCCUAAUACAUGCAAGUCGAGCGAACGGACGAGAAGCUUGCUUUUCUGAUGUUAGCGGCGGACGGAUGAGUAACACGUGGAUAACCUACCUAUAAGACUGGGAUAACUUCGGGAAACCGGAGCUAAUACCGGAUAAUAUUUUGAACCGCAUGGUUCAAAAGUGAAAGACGGUCUUGCUGUCACUUAUAGAUGGAUCCGCGCUGCAUUAGCUAGUUGGUAAGGUAACGGUUUACCAAGGCAACGAUGCAUAGCCGACCUGAGAGGGUGAUCGGCCACACUGGAACUGAGACACGGUCCAGACUCCUACGGGAGGCAGCAGUAGGGAAUCUUCCGCAAUGGGCGAAAGCCUGACGGAGCAACGCCGCGUGAGUGAUGAAGGUCUUCGGAUCGUAAAACUCUGUUAUUAGGGAAGAACAUAUGUGUAAGUAACUGUGCACAUCUUGACGGUACCUAAUCAGAAAGCCACGGCUAACUACGUG